This 240-nucleotide unclassified non-coding RNA is filed under the name soil metagenome. Its description in RNAcentral is "partial contains 5.8S ribosomal RNA, internal transcribed spacer 2, and large subunit ribosomal RNA". The record is from RNAcentral.
AAGACUAUAGACCUGCGGAGUACCUGCGGAGGGAUCAUUAAAGUGCCAAGCUGGGUAGAGCGUCUCAUCUUCUAGAAGGGAUCGCUCGACCCGCAAACAGGCCCCAACCGUGUCUAUCUGAACCUAGUUGCCUUGGCGGGUCAGUCGGAGUGAUCUUCGACCGCCGAGGGUGAGCCGUCGGGCUUAUCCGGGCGCGCGCCCGCCAAUGGAAAUUUAUUGAACUCUUGUCUAAGCUGGCUG